Molecule: long non-coding RNA, 3975 nt
Organism: Girardinichthys multiradiatus
Lineage: Eukaryota; Metazoa; Chordata; Actinopteri; Cyprinodontiformes; Goodeidae
Exons: 3
Source: RefSeq, a predicted model, not a curated record
GGCUCUUUUCUUAAAACAAAAUAGGAAAUACGACAGAUGCAUGCAUUUUAUGGUCAAACUGGAAAUAUUUUUAUAUUGCAAGAGAUACGACUGAAUGUUGGAUUUUUUUUUCCUUUUUAUUAAAUUUAACAUUCACAAGAAAAAUGAAAUGCAUGCCCGGAUGUAAUAUUAUAGCCUACAAGAGGAAAAACAAACAGGGGCAACCACAUCAUGGUUGGCAGGGGAGAUGGUGCCGUUAAUGCUGGAUUGGGAAGCAGAAUCCCGCAUUUGCAGCCUCCCGCACAAGAUGCGAUGGCAGAGUUUGACCACAAGGCGGCGACAACGCGAGGCCCAACUCUUCCUGAUUAGAGUUUAGCAGCAACCAUGAGACCUCGGAUGCUCUUUAAUGAGACACAAUGACACGUUUCAGCCUCUGCAACUCGCUUUUAAACACUAACAGGGCACUAAAGAAGUCGUCGGCAUGAUACUAUGAGCUGGACGCUUUAUCCCCGCAUACAAUGCGGAGCCAGUCAGAACAUCCUGUAAUCAGAACACCCCUCAAUCUCUACAAAUCGCCCAGGUCAGAUCAAAGCGAUGCUUGAACACAUCAAUCAGUGUGCGGACAGGCGCACAGGCUGCGGAUCACCCCGCAAAGAUCCCUUUUUUUUUUUUUUUUUUUUUGUUAGUCGCAGGAGCAAAUGGAAAGCUACCGGUUACGGUAUCGCCUUAUUGGCCUCAGCUGAUGGUCGAUGAUGGGACGAUGCACACACACAAACGCACACACACACCUAGUAGCUGCUGGCACCACAUCGAUUCUCUGGCGGCUGUGCGUGGAAGCUGUCACUUCACCGCCGGCGACCUUUGUGGGGCUGCAGAGUAGCAGCGUUUACAGAGAGACACACCCGCAUUUAGACUGUCAGGGGGUGAGGGGUCGGAAGGCUGCUGGGAGGAUGCACGAACAUCCUCAUGCACACACACACACACACACGCCCACAUACACAUACCCACACACACAUGUUUUACAAAAGUUUUAAGAGGGUGUUAAAAUCAGUUUGGAGUUUGCGUCGUUGAAGCAGAAAGUGCCCGCAGAAUAUUUCACCACAAUUACAGAUUCUAAAAAAAAAAAACACUUGGAAUUUAACCAAUAGGAGCAACAUUUUGCGGACAAUUUAAUUUAGAUGGCUUUGAUUAAAUUCUCUGAAUCUAAAUGUUAACAUCUAAAUGAUAACAAUUAUUUUUGCGAGUUGGCAAGAAAUGUUUCAAAUGUAUACUUAAAAAUAGUUAAAAUCUCACUAAAUGUGAAUAUCAUAUUACUCAAAUGAAUUACGUUCUGAGUAAGUUCUAAAGGAAAUUUACAUUUCAUUAAUGAAAUGGAAGUACAAAACAUCAGGAUGCCAGCAUAAAUAGAAAUUGCUACCCUGGCUAGCAUGUUUGGCAUUGGCAUUAGCUCUGUCUCUAAACUAGCUGGAUACAAACCUUAACUCUUCCUCCAAAGUUUAUCCACUAAGUUUUUAAUAAUAAUCCCAAGUAAACCCAUAUUAACAUACAUACCUUACCUUUCUCUGCUGGACUCCACACAUGAUGACUGAGGAUGAUGGCUGACUGAACCAAUAUCUUGUGUGUGUGUGUGUGUGUGGUGUGUGUGUGUGUGUGUGUGUGUGUGUGUGUGCAUGUGUGUGCGUGUGUGUGUUUUCUUGCCGUCACAAAUAUUUUCAAUUUCUUUGAGAACAGACAUAAACAGCAGGAUCUAACCAUGCAUCUAUCCAACCAUUGUCUACCCGCUUGUCCUUGCAGGUUUGCUGGGGAGCUGGUGCCUAUCUCCAGCGGUUAUCAUGUGAGUUGUGGGUUACACCCUGGAUGAGUCAGAAUGUAAUCAGCAUAAAGGAAAGUCAUUUUAGUAGUUUCUCAAUGAGCACAUCAAAAGGUAUCAUUUUUCUACUUAUGAGCUUUGAUUCCUUAAUUAUGCCACCAACAUUUUGUAUAUGAAAUUAUAGAAAAGGGUUUUCCAUAACAAAGCUGUUAAAAAUCCAGCAAGUUUGUACUGUAAAAAUAGUAAAUUCUAACCAGUAUUCUUUUCAUUCUGAUUCUUUCAACUGUUUUCUCUUUUGGUUUCUCUAGUAUCAUCUAUCUAUAGUUCUAUAAUCUAUAUAAAGUCAGUUGCAUGUGUUGCAGAGAACAGCGGCAGUCAUGUCAUUAGAUCUGAGCAAAUAAAAUAAUAAAAACAAAAAAUCCAAUUUUAAAACAAAUAAAUCAGAUAAUUUGGGGAAUUCAGUUUGCACACAUGAUCAAACCUAAGUCUGACUUGGGAGAAUGCUUCAUGGACAUUUUAUGUGAGCCGGAGGAACUCAUGAAAAAUAGCAGGGGUGUCAAGAGUCGGCGUGAGGGCCGUACCUGACCGUCCCAUCAAAGUUGUCCUUGACAGAUGAUGGGGGUGGGGGUUCAGGAGGAUUAUAUUGAUUAAAAUCCCCAAACUGGACAGGUUGUCUAACGGUAUGUAAAGAAGUCAGAGUGGGUAAUCAAACCUGUAUCUUUCCCAUAUUCUUUCUGCUUUCUUAGAUUUUUGUUAAAAAGAUAAACAACAUUCUAACCAAGUGGGAGCAUCAGCCUGUUACAGCACCAAAACAAAGCAAUAUAAGUUCAGCAUUGUUUUGCCUUCUAUGUUUUGAAGUUUCUGACUUCUGCAAAUAUCAUACAUGUGCUCGGCUUUUUGGUGAGUCUGUGUGUGUGUGUGUGUGUGUGUGUGUGUGUGUGUGUGUGUGUGUGUGUGUGUGUAGUCAGGGUAAGAACUUGUGGUUAAAAGGACAGCUAGAGAAUGCUGUGCUCCCUGAAUAUUUCCCACAGGUUGCUGACACAGUUGGGAGGAAAAAGAUAGAUUGUGAUUUUUAGAUAUUUGAUUCCAAAGUUUGGUUUCUUCUCUGAAUUUAAUCGAAGGAUUACCUUAACUGAACUACAGUUCAGAUAAAAAAUGGUAUUUCGUCAUGAGUAACCUGAUGUGAGUGAUGGUGUUACAAGAGUUAGGUUAGCUACCUGGAAGAAUAGUCAAAAAGAGACACAUAGGAGAAAGAAAUGAGACAAAUCUUUAUUGUCAUUGUCACUUUUGCAAGCAUAACUAAAUUGAAGGGUUCAGUUGACUUAGUGUUAGGCUUAAGAAAAGUAAAAUAACAAUAAAAAUAAAAUAGCAUUAAUAAAAACAAAAUAGCAAUAAAGUGCCUUACAAAGUGUUCAUAGCCUUUGAACCUUUUCACAUUUUAUCAUGUUAUGACCAGAAACCUUCUGUAUUUGCAUCAUUUUCAAGUGAAAAACAAAGGAUGUACAAUCUAAAACAUAUUUACAAAAAACAUAAAACUGUAGUAUGCAUUUUAAAAAAUCACUCCUUACUCUGAUGCCCCUAAAUUACAACCCAGUGCAACCAAUUGCCUUCAAAAGUCCUGUACUUGGUUUAAGCUCACAGAUGUUUAUUGUAGGCCUCUGAGGUUUAUAAAAGAACAUCAGUGAACAAACAGCUUCAUGAAGACAGAUGAACCCAGCAGACAGGUUUAAUUCAUCAUCAGAACAUGGAAAGAGUAUAGCACAAGUGCAAACCUUCCUAACAUGACAAACUGUCACCUGUUCCGUUUCCAGUUCGGACAAGUGAUGCAGCAGAGACAGAAAACAUGUGGAAGAAGGUGCUCUGCUCAGAGGAGACUAACAUUCAUAGCACUAUGAAUGGUAGUAAACUAACAACACAUGUCAACCUGAACACACCACCCCACUGUGAAACAUGGUGGUGGCAGCGUCAUGCUGUGGCAAUGCGCUUCCUCAGCAAGGAAAGGGGAGAUGGAGAUACAUGCAUUAUUACAUGAAUAUAAAUAAAUGUUACAUGAUGAACUUGAAAGGUUUUAAAUGAAUACCUGGAUGAUGACAUCAGCUGUAGAAUUUGCCACGUCGAUUUUUAGUUAAAACCUUUAAUAAUGCUUCAUCUGUGACAAAUGGAUCACGUUUUAUAGGUAGAAAAAA